UACAGAGGUCCCGAGCGUUGUUCGGAUUCACUGGGCGUAAAGCGCGUUCAGGCGGUUUGGCAAGUCGGGCAUGAAAUCUCUCGGCUCAACCGGGAGAGGUUGUCCGAUACUGCUGGACUUGAGGGCAGUAGAGGGUGGUGGAAUUCCGGGUGUAGUGGUGAAAUGCGUAGAUAUCCGGAGGAACACCAGUGGCGAAAGCGGCCACCUGGACUGCACCUGACGCUGACACGCGAAAGCUAGGGGAGCGAACGGG
Molecule: ribosomal RNA, 253 nt
Filed under: uncultured bacterium
Lineage: Bacteria
Description: partial 16S ribosomal RNA
Rfam family: Bacterial small subunit ribosomal RNA
Source: RNAcentral